This 253-nucleotide ribosomal RNA is filed under the name uncultured bacterium. Its description in RNAcentral is "partial 16S ribosomal RNA". It matches the Rfam family "Bacterial small subunit ribosomal RNA", at positions 524 to 776 of the family's 1533-position model. The record is from RNAcentral.
UACGUAGGUGGCAAGCGUUACUCGGAAUCACUAGGCGUAAAGCGCAGGUAGGAGGUUUGGUAAGUCUGUUGUGAAAGCUCCUGGCUUAACUGGGAGAGGUCAACGGAAACUACCAGGCUUGAGUGUGGUAGAGGUAGCUGGAAUUCCCGGUGUAGCGGUGAAAUGCGUAGAUAUCGGGAGGAAUACCUAUGGCGAAAGCAGGCUACUGGACCAUCACUGACUCUGAUCUGCGAAAGCUAGGGGAGCAAACAGG